Transfer RNA from Camelus ferus (Wild Bactrian camel), 72 nucleotides. It matches the Rfam family "tRNA". From Rfam's summary of the family: Transfer RNA (tRNA) molecules are approximately 80 nucleotides in length. Their secondary structure includes four short double-helical elements and three loops (D, anti-codon, and T loops). Further hydrogen bonds mediate the characteristic L-shaped molecular structure. tRNAs have two regions of fundamental functional importance: the anti-codon, which is responsible for specific mRNA codon recognition, and the 3' end, to which the tRNAs corresponding amino acid is attached (by aminoacyl-tRNA synthetases). tRNAs cope with the degeneracy of the genetic code in two manners: having more than one tRNA (with a specific anti-codon) for a particular amino acid; and 'wobble' base-pairing, i.e. permitting non-standard base-pairing at the 3rd anti-codon position. The record is from Rfam. NCBI's taxonomy places the organism in Eukaryota, Metazoa, Chordata, Mammalia, Artiodactyla, Camelidae.
GAGGGUAUAGCUCAGUGGUAGAGGGCAUGCCUAGCAUGCACGAGGUCCUGGGUUCAAUCCCCAGUACCUACG